Molecule: ribosomal RNA, 3028 nt
Filed under: Salmonella enterica subsp. enterica serovar Anatum
Lineage: Bacteria; Pseudomonadati; Pseudomonadota; Gammaproteobacteria; Enterobacterales; Enterobacteriaceae
Also listed under: 4 other names
Description: bacterial LSU rRNA
Rfam family: Bacterial large subunit ribosomal RNA
Source: RNAcentral
GGGUUGUGAGGUUAAGCGACUAAGCGUACACGGUGGAUGCCCUGGCAGUCAGAGGCGAUGAAGGGCGUGCUAAUCUGCGAUAAGCGCCGGUAAGGUGAUAUGAACCGUUAUAACCGGCGAUACCCGAAUGGGGAAACCCAGUGUGACUCGUCACACUAUCAUUAACUGAAUCCAUAGGUUAAUGAGGCGAACCGGGGGAACUGAAACAUCUAAGUACCCCGAGGAAAAGAAAUCAACCGAGAUUCCCCCAGUAGCGGCGAGCGAACGGGGAGGAGCCCAGAGCCUGAAUCAGCAUGUGUGUUAGUGGAAGCGUCUGGAAAGGCGCGCGAUACAGGGUGACAGCCCCGUACACAAAAGCGCAUGUGCUGUGAGCUCGAUGAGUAGGGCGGGACACGUGGUAUCCUGUCUGAAUAUGGGGGGACCAUCCUCCAAGGCUAAAUACUCCUGACUGACCGAUAGUGAACCAGUACCGUGAGGGAAAGGCGAAAAGAACCCCGGCGAGGGGAGUGAAAAAGAACCUGAAACCGUGUACGUACAAGCAGUGGGAGCCCCACCACCAAAGCAUUCUCUGGUGUUGAAGGCCCUGCAAAGCAGCAUCGCGGUGGCGGAGCGUCGUUUGCGACGCCCAACACACAAAACAAGCGGUGAGUGCUUUGGGGUGGGGUGACUGCGUACCUUUUGUAUAAUGGGUCAGCGACUUAUAUUCUGUAGCAAGGUUAACCGAAUAGGGGAGCCGGAGGGAAACCGAGUCUUAAUUGGGCGUUAAGUUGCAGGGUAUAGACCCGAAACCCGGUGAUCUAGCCAUGGGCAGGUUGAAGGUUGGGUAACACUAACUGGAGGACCGAACCGACUAAUGUUGAAAAAUUAGCGGAUGACCUGUGGCUGGGGGUGAAAGGCCAAUCAAACCGGGAGAUAGCUGGUUCUCCCCGAAAGCUAUUUAGGUAGCGCCUCGUGAAUUCAUCUCCGGGGGUAGAGCACUGUUUCGGCUAGGGGGCCAUCCCGGCUUACCAACCCGAUGCAAACUGCGAAUACCGGAGAAUGUUAUCACGGGAGACACACGGCGGGUGCUAACGUCCGUCGUGAAGAGGGAAACAACCCAGACCGCCAGCUAAGGUCCCAAAGUCAUGGUUAAGUGGGAAACGAUGUGGGAAGGCCCAGACAGCCAGGAUGUUGGCUUAGAAGCAGCCAUCAUUUAAAGAAAGCGUAAUAGCUCACUGGUCGAGUCGGCCUGCGCGGAAGAUGUAACGGGGCUAAACCAUGCACCGAAGCUGCGGCAGCGACACUGUGUGUUGUUGGGUAGGGGAGCGUUCUGUAAGCCUGUGAAGGUGUGUCGUGAGGCAUGCUGGAGGUAUCAGAAGUGCGAAUGCUGACAUAAGUAACGAUAAAGCGGGUGAAAAGCCCGCUCGCCGGAAGACCAAGGGUUCCUGUCCAACGUUAAUCGGGGCAGGGUGAGUCGACCCCUAAGGCGAGGCCGAAAGGCGUAGUCGAUGGGAAACGGGUUAAUAUUCCCGUACUUGGUGUUACUGCGAAGGGGGGACGGAGAAGGCUAUGUUGGCCGGGCGACGGUUGUCCCGGUUUAAGCGUGUAGGUGUGUGUUCCAGGUAAAUCCGGUUCACUUUAACACUGAGGCGUGACGACGAGGCACUACGGUGCUGAAGCAACAAAUGCCCUGCUUCCAGGAAAAGCCUCUAAGCAUCAGGUAACACGAAAUCGUACCCCAAACCGACACAGGUGGUCAGGUAGAGAAUACCAAGGCGCUUGAGAGAACUCGGGUGAAGGAACUAGGCAAAAUGGUGCCGUAACUUCGGGAGAAGGCACGCUGACACGUAGGUGAAGUGAUUUACUCAUGGAGCUGAAGUCAGUCGAAGAUACCAGCUGGCUGCAACUGUUUAUUAAAAACACAGCACUGUGCAAACACGAAAGUGGACGUAUACGGUGUGACGCCUGCCCGGUGCCGGAAGGUUAAUUGAUGGGGUCAGCGCAAGCGAAGCUCCUGAUCGAAGCCCCGGUAAACGGCGGCCGUAACUAUAACGGUCCUAAGGUAGCGAAAUUCCUUGUCGGGUAAGUUCCGACCUGCACGAAUGGCGUAAUGAUGGCCAGGCUGUCUCCACCCGAGACUCAGUGAAAUUGAACUCGCUGUGAAGAUGCAGUGUACCCGCGGCAAGACGGAAAGACCCCGUGAACCUUUACUAUAGCUUGACACUGAACAUUGAGCCUUGAUGUGUAGGAUAGGUGGGAGGCUUUGAAGUGUGGACGCCAGUCUGCAUGGAGCCGACCUUGAAAUACCACCCUUUAAUGUUUGAUGUUCUAACGUGGACCCGUGAUCCGGGUUGCGGACAGUGUCUGGUGGGUAGUUUGACUGGGGCGGUCUCCUCCUAAAGAGUAACGGAGGAGCACGAAGGUUGGCUAAUCCUGGUCGGACAUCAGGAGGUUAGUGCAAUGGCAUAAGCCAGCUUGACUGCGAGCGUGACGGCGCGAGCAGGUGCGAAAGCAGGUCAUAGUGAUCCGGUGGUUCUGAAUGGAAGGGCCAUCGCUCAACGGAUAAAAGGUACUCCGGGGAUAACAGGCUGAUACCGCCCAAGAGUUCAUAUCGACGGCGGUGUUUGGCACCUCGAUGUCGGCUCAUCACAUCCUGGGGCUGAAGUAGGUCCCAAGGGUAUGGCUGUUCGCCAUUUAAAGUGGUACGCGAGCUGGGUUUAGAACGUCGUGAGACAGUUCGGUCCCUAUCUGCCGUGGGCGCUGGAGAACUGAGGGGGGCUGCUCCUAGUACGAGAGGACCGGAGUGGACGCAUCACUGGUGUUCGGGUUGUCAUGCCAAUGGCACUGCCCGGUAGCUAAAUGCGGAAGAGAUAAGUGCUGAAAGCAUCUAAGCACGAAACUUGCCCCGAGAUGAGUUCUCCCUGAGACUUAGAGUCUCCUGAAGGAACGUUGAAGACGACGACGUUGAUAGGCCGGGUGUGUAAGCGCAGCGAUGCGUUGAGCUAACCGGUACUAAUGAACCGUGAGGCUUAACCUUACAACGCCGAAG